AGAGUUUGAUCCUGGCUCAGAACGAACGCUGGCGGCAGGCCUAACACAUGCAAGUCGAGCGAGAAAGCUCCCUUCGGGGAGUGAGUAGAGCGGCGCACGGGUGAGUAACACGUGAGUAACCUGCCCUGAGGUAUGGGAUAACAGCCCGAAAGGGCUGCUAAUACCGUAUAAGACCACUUCGCUGCGGUGAAGUGGUAAAAGGGGGGUCUUUGACCUCUCGCCAUGGGAUGGGCUCGCGGUCCAUUAGGUAGUUGGUGAGGUAACGGCUCACCAAGCCGACGAUGGAUAGCUGGUUUGAGAGAGCGAUCAGCCACACUGGGACUGAGACACGGCCCAGACUCCUACGGGAGGCAGCAGUGGGGAAUCUUGCGCAAUGGGGGAAACCCUGACGCAGCCAUGCCGCGUGAGUGACGAAGGCCUUCGGGUUGUAAAGCUCUGUCCAGGGGGACGAAUCGUGGGUGUAGCUAAUACCUGCAUCCUCUGACGGUACCCCUGAAGAAAGCGCCGGCUAACUCCGUGCCAGCAGCCGCGGCAAUACGGAGGGCGCAAGCGUUGUUCGGAAUUACUGGGCGUAAAGCGCGCGUA
RNAcentral lists this ribosomal RNA (585 nucleotides) under uncultured bacterium. RNAcentral's name for it is "bacterial SSU rRNA". It matches the Rfam family "Bacterial small subunit ribosomal RNA", at positions 8 to 573 of the family's 1533-position model. The record is from RNAcentral.